GAUAUAGACCAGGUUUUGGCAAAGCUGUUUUGUAAUAGGUCAGAUAGUAAAUAUUUUCAGCUUUAUGUGCCACAGGGCCUCUGCUGCAUUUACUCGACUCUGCCAUUGUCACACAAAAGCAGCCAUAGAGGUAGUAAAUUAAUGGGUGUGGCUCUCUUUAAUAACACUUUUUUUUUAAUUUGUUUACAGAUACAGGCUGUGGGCCAGAUUUCACCAGCAAACCAGUUCCGUUUUAUGCUUUCAUUGGGGAUCUUUUAUAAUAAAGGUUUUCUGCCUCCAAAGGGUCUGCAUGUUGAAUCCAGAAUACUGGAGAACUGAAUCUCAUCCUUAUACUAGAAUAUAGCCAGGCUCUUGAGCCACUUUGCUCCAAAAUUGAACCCAGGAAAGGGUGCUAAGAAGAAGAGUUUUAAGUGGUCAGGAGUAAUAAGUAGACUAUUGGACUAAUUCCAGCAUGGAAGCCCUACGAAAACUCUCCAAGGCAGGCUUGGUGAAUACACUUCCUGAUUAAAAAAGAAGUGAAGCCAUAACUGUGUCUAUAAGUCAGUAUCUUAAUUGAUACAAGGUGUGAUAA
Hipposideros armiger (great roundleaf bat) is the source of this 571-nucleotide long non-coding RNA. RefSeq lists it as uncharacterized. NCBI's taxonomy places the organism in Eukaryota, Metazoa, Chordata, Mammalia, Chiroptera, Hipposideridae. The transcript is spliced from 3 exons. The record is from RefSeq and is a predicted model, not a curated record.